Molecule: ribosomal RNA, 253 nt
Filed under: uncultured bacterium
Lineage: Bacteria
Description: partial 16S ribosomal RNA
Rfam family: Bacterial small subunit ribosomal RNA
Source: RNAcentral
UACGUAGGGAGCAAGCGUUGUUCGGAUUUACUGGGCGUAAAGGGCGCGUAGGCGGCCUUCUAAGUCAGACGUGAAAUCCCCCGGCUUAACCUGGGAACUGCGUCUGAUACUGGGAGGCUUGAGUAUGGGAGAGGGAUGUAGAAUUCCAGGUGUAGCGGUGAAAUGCGUAGAUAUCUGGAGGAAUACCGGUGGCGAAGGCGGCAUCCUGGACCAUUACUGACGCUGAGGCGCGAAAGCUAGGGGAGCAAACGGG